GAUGAACGCUGGCGGCGUGCCUAACACAUGCAAGUCGAGCGAAGCGAUCGAGAUGAAGUUUUCGGAUGGAUUCCUGAUUGACUGAGCGGCGGACGGGUGAGUAACGCGUGGGUAACCUGCCUCAUACAGGGGGAUAACAGUUAGAAAUGACUGCUAAUACCGCAUAAGCGCACAGUACCACAUGGUACAGUGUGAAAAACUCCGGUGGUAUGAGAUGGACCCGCGUCUGAUUAGCUGGUUGGUGGGGUAACGGCCCACCAAGGCGACGAUCAGUAGCCGACCUGAGAGGGUGAUCGGCCACAUUGGGACUGAGACACGGCCCAAACUCCUACGGGAGGCAGCAGUGGGGAAUAUUGCACAAUGGGGGAAACCCUGAUGCAGCAACGCCGCGUGAGUGAAGAAGUAUUUCGGUAUGUAAAGCUCUAUCAGCAGGGAAGAAAAUGACGGUACCUGACUAAGAAGCCCCGGCUAACUACGUGCCAGCCGCCGCCGUAA
RNAcentral lists this ribosomal RNA (495 nucleotides) under uncultured bacterium. RNAcentral describes it as "partial 16S ribosomal RNA". It matches the Rfam family "Bacterial small subunit ribosomal RNA", at positions 28 to 523 of the family's 1533-position model. The record is from RNAcentral.